RNAcentral lists this non-coding RNA (22 nucleotides) under Arabidopsis thaliana (thale cress). The record is from RNAcentral. RNAcentral also lists the same sequence under 1 other name. Lineage: Eukaryota; Viridiplantae; Streptophyta; Magnoliopsida; Brassicales; Brassicaceae.
UUAGAUUCACGCACAAACUCGU